GGCAGUCCUUGACGAAGGAACCGCGCUACAUGUGGGGAUAUGAAUACAAAACACAAAACAUGUAUCUCAAAGUAAAAUGCCACCAAGGGGCUCAAACAUUGCCUCCUAUCGAGGUCUUCCAGCUAAGAAAGCGAUAAAGUAUGAGAGAGGGAAAAAAUUACCACACGGAUAAAGAUCCGAAGUUACAGCAAUUAAAGGAAUGGGAAACCCAGGGAUCCUUCCAAGCUAAACACCAUUAAAGAAAGUGAGUCAGUACAGGUAAUCGGAAUGAAACCUCCAG
RNAcentral lists this long non-coding RNA (280 nucleotides) under Lathyrus oleraceus (garden pea). RNAcentral's name for it is "Pisum sativum (pea) long non-coding RNA (PSAT_LNC034866)". Lineage: Eukaryota; Viridiplantae; Streptophyta; Magnoliopsida; Fabales; Fabaceae. The record is from RNAcentral.